This 946-nucleotide ribosomal RNA is filed under the name Salmonella enterica subsp. enterica serovar Dublin. RNAcentral describes it as "partial 23S ribosomal RNA". It matches the Rfam family "Bacterial large subunit ribosomal RNA", at positions 550 to 1313 of the family's 2925-position model. Lineage: Bacteria; Pseudomonadati; Pseudomonadota; Gammaproteobacteria; Enterobacterales; Enterobacteriaceae. The record is from RNAcentral.
CUGAAACCGUGUACGUACAAGCAGUGGGAGCCCCACCACUAAGCCAGUGGUGAACUCCACAUACGCAUCCUUUGCUGAGGAUACGGUUAACGGAGCGAAAGCGACGUUCAACCGCAAAAGAAGCAGAGGGGGCUUAGUGGUGGGGUGACUGCGUACCUUUUGUAUAAUGGGUCAGCGACUUAUAUUCUGUAGCAAGGUUAACCGAAUAGGGGAGCCGGAGGGAAACCGAGUCUUAACCGGGCGUUAAGUUGCAGGGUAUAGACCCGAAACCCGGUGAUCUAGCCAUGGGCAGGUUGAAGGUUGGGUAACACUAACUGGAGGACCGAACCGACUAAUGUUGAAAAAUUAGCGGAUGACCUGUGGCUGGGGGUGAAAGGCCAAUCAAACCGGGAGAUAGCUGGUUCUCCCCGAAAGCUAUUUAGGUAGCGCCUCGUGAAUUCAUCUCCGGGGGUAGAGCACUGUUUCGGCUAGGGGGCCAUCCCGGCUUACCAACCCGAUGCAAACUGCGAAUACCGGAGAAUGUUAUCACGGGAGACACACGGCGGGUGCUAACGUCCGUCGUGAAGAGGGAAACAACCCAGACCGCCAGCUAAGGUCCCAAAGUCAUGGUUAAGUGGGAAACGAUGUGGGAAGGCCCAGACAGCCAGGAUGUUGGCUUAGAAGCAGCCAUCAUUUAAAGAAAGCGUAAUAGCUCACUGGUCGAGUCGGCCUGCGCGGAAGAUGUAACGGGGCUAAACCAUGCACCGAAGCUGCGGCAGCGAACGUAUCACUUAAAGCGAUUCAGCGGGUUACGAUUGACGGAGCGAAGCGACGUCAAAGCGUAUACAAAGUCGAGUCGGUUUAAGGAUACGUUCGUUGGGUAGGGGAGCGUUCUGUAAGCCUGUGAAGGUGGCCUGUGAGGGUUGCUGGAGGUAUCAGAAGUGCGAAUGCUGACAUAAGUAACGAU